This 274-nucleotide ribosomal RNA is filed under the name uncultured bacterium. Its description in RNAcentral is "partial 16S ribosomal RNA". It matches the Rfam family "Bacterial small subunit ribosomal RNA", at positions 523 to 796 of the family's 1533-position model. The record is from RNAcentral.
ACACGGAGGGUCCAAGCGUUAUCCGGAAUCAUUGGGUUUAAAGGGUCCGCAGGCGGUCAAUUAAGUCAGAGGUGAAAGCCCAUCGCUCAACGAUGGAACUGCCUUUGAUACUGGUUGACUUGAGUUAUACGGAAGUAGAUAGAAUAAGUAGUGUAGCGGUGAAAUGCAUAGAUAUUACUUAGAAUACCGAUUGCGAAGGCAGUCUACUACGUAUAUACUGACGCUGAGGGACGAAAGCGUGGGGAGCGAACAGGAUUAGAUACCCCAGUAGUCC